This 104-nucleotide ribosomal RNA is filed under the name Penicillium sp. NRRL 35682. Its description in RNAcentral is "partial 5.8S ribosomal RNA". It matches the Rfam family "5.8S ribosomal RNA", at positions 56 to 154 of the family's 154-position model. Rfam says of the family: 5.8S ribosomal RNA (5.8S rRNA) is a component of the large subunit of the eukaryotic ribosome. It is transcribed by RNA polymerase I as part of the 45S precursor that also contains 18S and 28S rRNA. Lineage: Eukaryota; Fungi; Ascomycota; Eurotiomycetes; Eurotiales; Aspergillaceae. The record is from RNAcentral.
CGAUAAUUUAUUUGAAUUGCAGAAUUCAGUGAAUCAUCGAGUCUUUGAACGCACAUUGCGCCCCCUGGUAUUCCCGGGGGGGCAUGCCUGUCCGAGCGUCAUUG